GGCCGGUUGGUCAAGCGGUUAAGACGCCGCCCUCUCACGGCGGAAACAAGGGUUCGAUUCCCUUACCGGCUA
This 72-nucleotide transfer RNA is filed under the name Lachnospiraceae bacterium. RNAcentral's name for it is "tRNA-Glu". It matches the Rfam family "tRNA". From Rfam's summary of the family: Transfer RNA (tRNA) molecules are approximately 80 nucleotides in length. Their secondary structure includes four short double-helical elements and three loops (D, anti-codon, and T loops). Further hydrogen bonds mediate the characteristic L-shaped molecular structure. tRNAs have two regions of fundamental functional importance: the anti-codon, which is responsible for specific mRNA codon recognition, and the 3' end, to which the tRNAs corresponding amino acid is attached (by aminoacyl-tRNA synthetases). tRNAs cope with the degeneracy of the genetic code in two manners: having more than one tRNA (with a specific anti-codon) for a particular amino acid; and 'wobble' base-pairing, i.e. permitting non-standard base-pairing at the 3rd anti-codon position. Lineage: Bacteria; Bacillati; Bacillota; Clostridia; Lachnospirales; Lachnospiraceae. The record is from RNAcentral.